GAUGAACGCUGGCGGCGUGCCUAAUACAUGCAAGUCGAGCGAACAGACGAGGAGCUUGCUCCUCUGACGUUAGCGGCGGACGGGUGAGUAACACGUGGAUAACCUACCUAUAAGACUGGGAUAACUUCGGGAAACCGGGGCUAAUACCGGAUAAUAUAUUGAACCGCAUGGUUCAAUAGUGAAAGACGGUUUUGCUGUCACUUAUAGAUGGAUCCGCGCCGCAUUAGCUAGUUGGUAAGGUAACGGCUUACCAAGGCAACGAUGCGUAGCCGACCUGAGAGGGUGAUCGGCCACACUGGAACUGAGACACGGUCCAGACUCCUACCGGAGGCAGCAGUAGGGAAUCUUCCGCAAUGGGCGAAAGCCUGACGGAGCAACGCCGCGUGAGUGAUGAAGGUCUUCGGAUCGUAAAACUCUGUUAUUAGGGAAGAACAAAUGUGUAAGUAACUAUGCACGUCUUGACGGUACCUAAUCAGAAAGCCACGGCUAACUACGUG
This 497-nucleotide ribosomal RNA is filed under the name uncultured bacterium. Its description in RNAcentral is "partial 16S ribosomal RNA". It matches the Rfam family "Bacterial small subunit ribosomal RNA", at positions 28 to 507 of the family's 1533-position model. The record is from RNAcentral.